GACGAACGCUGGCGGCGUGCUUAACACAUGCAAGUCGAACGGAAAGGCCCUGCUUUUGUGGGGUGCUCGAGUGGCGAACGGGUGAGUAACACGUGAGUAACCUGCCCUUGACUUUGGGAUAACUUCAGGAAACUGGGGCUAAUACCGGAUAGGAGCUCCUGCUGCAUGGUGGGGGUUGGAAAGUUUCGGCGGUUGGGGAUGGACUCGCGGCUUAUCAGCUUGUUGGUGGGGUAGUGGCUUACCAAGGCUUUGACGGGUAGCCGGCCUGAGAGGGUGACCGGCCACAUUGGGACUGAGGUACGGCCCAGGCUCAUACGGGAGGAAGCGGUGGGAACUAUUGCACAAUGGGCGGAAGCCUGAUGCAGCAACGCCGCGUGGGGGAGGACGGCCUUCGGGUUGGAAACCGCUUUCGCUUGUGACGAGGCGUGAGUGAGGGUAAUGGAUAAAGAAGAACCGGCUAACUACGU
This 467-nucleotide ribosomal RNA is filed under the name uncultured bacterium. Its description in RNAcentral is "partial 16S ribosomal RNA". It matches the Rfam family "Bacterial small subunit ribosomal RNA", at positions 28 to 506 of the family's 1533-position model. The record is from RNAcentral.